Molecule: long non-coding RNA, 502 nt
Organism: Oreochromis aureus
Lineage: Eukaryota; Metazoa; Chordata; Actinopteri; Cichliformes; Cichlidae
Source: Ensembl
GUGACUGCUACCGAGGUGCAUCAUGGGGAAUUGGCGGUUAACGACAUGCUCACUUUACUUGGACGUUUUCUAAUCGUCUUCUUUGGAAUAUGCUUUCAAGGUCUGUGAAGCCAAACUUGAUGCUGGGGAUAUAUUUUUGUCAGUGGAGUCAAAUGGUUGAAGCAGAAUUUGCCCGUCUUACAUCUGUUGACCUGAAAGGGUUCCUUUUUGCUGUGCUUGACCAUUAUGGAGAGGUUCGUGGAGCUGUACAAAAUCAAGAGCGGCAUAGGAGGGCUGACUAGGCUCAUAAAAUGCUUCAAUGAUGAUAGCCCUACACAAAGGAAGAGAGAGGACCUCAUUUUCUAAAGGAAGAUCCCUCACACACUUUCAAGACUGUGAAGCCGACAGGUAUUGAAGACACGUUUUCUAAGAGGAUGAAAGUUGGCAUUGCGAUGGUGAAAGAAGAAGACAUCAUCGAUGUGUUGGUUGUCCUUGAGGCGGCAGUAAUCCUGUCUAAUCUGAG